RNAcentral lists this ribosomal RNA (532 nucleotides) under uncultured bacterium. RNAcentral's name for it is "partial 16S ribosomal RNA". It matches the Rfam family "Bacterial small subunit ribosomal RNA", at positions 355 to 874 of the family's 1533-position model. The record is from RNAcentral.
UGGGGAAUAUUGCACAAUGGGCGCAAGCCUGAUGCAGCCAUGCCGCGUGUGUGAAGAAGGCCUUCGGGUUGUAAAGCACUUUCAGCGAGGAGGAAGGUGGUGGACUUAAUACGUUCAUCAAUUGACGUUACUCGCAGAAGAAGCACCGGCUAACUCCGUGCCAGCAGCCGCGGUAAUACGGAGGGUGCAAGCGUUAAUCGGAAUUACUGGGCGUAAAGCGCACGCAGGCGGUUUGUUAAGUCAGAUGUGAAAUCCCCGGGCUCAACCUGGGAACUGCAUUUGAAACUGGCAAGCUAGAGUCUCGUAGAGGGAGGUAGAAUUCCAGGUGUAGCGGUGAAAUGCGUAGAGAUCUGGAGGAAUACCGGUGGCGAAGGCGGCCCCCCUGGACGAAGACUGACGCUCAGGUGCGAAAGCGUGGGGAGCAAAACAGGAUUAGAUACCCUGGUAGUCCACGCUGUAAAACGAUGUCGAUUUUGGAGGUUGUGCCCCUUGAGGCGUGGCUUCCGGAGCUAACGCGUUAAAUCGACCGCCU